RNAcentral lists this ribosomal RNA (441 nucleotides) under uncultured bacterium. RNAcentral describes it as "partial 16S ribosomal RNA". It matches the Rfam family "Bacterial small subunit ribosomal RNA", at positions 338 to 795 of the family's 1533-position model. The record is from RNAcentral.
CCUACGGGAGGCAGCAGUGGGGAAUAUUGCACAAUGGGGGAAACCCUGAUGCAGCAACGCCGCGUGAGUGAAGAAGUAUUUCGGUUUGUAAAGCUCUAUCAGCAGGGACGAAGAAAGACGGUACCUGACUAAGAAGCCCCGGCUAACUACGUGCCAGCAGCCGCGGUAAUACGUAGGGGGCAAGCGUUAUCCGGAUUUACUGGGUAUAAAGGGAGCGUAGACGGCUGAGCAAGUCUGUAGUGAAAGCCCGGGGCUGAACCGCGGAACUGCUUUGGAAACUGUAUAGCUUGAGUACUGGAGAGGCAGGCGGAAUUCCUAGUGUAGCGGUGAAAUGCGUAGAUAUUAGGAGGAACACCAGUGGCGAAGGCGGCCAGCUGGACAGAAACUGACGUUGAGGCUCGAAAGCGUGGGGAGCAAACAGGAUUAGAUACCCCAGUAGUC